GCUAAUCUGCGAUAAGCGCCGGUAAGGUGAUAUGAACCGUUAUAACCGGCGAUACCCGAAUGGGGAAACCCAGUGUGAUUCGUCACACUAUCAUUAACUGAAUCCAUAGGUUAAUGAGGCGAACCGGGGGAACUGAAACAUCUAAGUACCCCGAGGAAAAGAAAUCAACCGAGAUUCCCCCAGUAGCGGCGAGCGAACGGGGAGGAGCCCAGAGCCUGAAUCAGCAUGUGUGUUAGUGGAAGCGUCUGGAAAGGCGCGCGAUACAGGGUGACAGCCCCGUACACAAAAGCGCAUGUGCUGUGAGCUCGAUGAGUAGGGCGGGACACGUGGUAUCCUGUCUGAAUAUGGGGGGACCAUCCUCCAAGGCUAAAUACUCCUGACUGACCGAUAGUGAACCAGUACCGUGAGGGAAAGGCGAAAAGAACCCCGGCGAGGGGAGUGAAAAAGAACCUGAAACCGUGUACGUACAAGCAGUGGGAGCACCCUUCGGGGUGUGACUGCGUACCUUUUGUAUAAUGGGUCAGCGACUUAUAUUCUGUAGCAAGGUUAACCGUAUAGGGGAGCCGCAGGGAAACCGAGUCUUAAUUGGGCGUUAAGUUGCAGGGUAUAGACCCGAAACCCGGUGAUCUAGCCAUGGGCAGGUUGAAGGUUGGGUAACACUAACUGGAGGACCGAACCGACUAAUGUUGAAAAAUUAGCGGAUGACCUGUGGCUGGGGGUGAAAGGCCAAUCAAACCGGGAGAUAGCUGGUUCUCCCCGAAAGCUAUUUAGGUAGCGCCUCGUGAAUUCAUCUCCGGGGGUAGAGCACUGUUUCGGCUAGGGGGCCAUCCCGGCUUACCAACCCGAUGCAAACUGCGAAUACCGGAGAAUGUUAUCACGGGAGACACACGGCGGGUGCUAACGUCCGUCGUGAAGAGGGAAACAACCCAGACCGCCAGCUAAGGUCCCAAAGUCAUGGUUAAGUGGGAAACGAUGUGGGAAGGCCCAGACAGCCAGGAUGUUGGCUUAGAAGCAGCCAUCAUUUAAAGAAAGCGUAAUAGCUCACUGGUCGAGUCGGCCUGCGCGGAAGAUGUAACGGGGCUAAACCAUGCACCGAAGCUGCGGCAGCGAACGUAUCACUUAAAGCGAUUCAGCGGGUUACGAUUGACGGAGCGAAGCGACGUCAAAGCGUAUACAAAGUCGAGUCGGUUUAAGGAUACGUUCGUUGGGUAGGGGAGCGUUCUGUAAGCCUGCGAAGGUGGCCUGUGAGGGUUGCUGGAGGUAUCAGAAGUGCGAAUGCUGACAUAAGUAACGAUAAAGCGGGUGAAAAGCCCGCUCGCCGGAAGACCAAGGGUUCCUGUCCAACGUUAAUCGGGGCAGGGUGAGUCGACCCCUAAGGCGAGGCCGAAAGGCGUAGUCGAUGGGAAACGGGUUAAUAUUCCCGUACUUGGUGUUACUGCGAAGGGGGGACGGAGAAGGCUAUGUUGGCCGGGCGACGGUUGUCCCGGUUUAAGCGUGUAGGUGUGUGUUCCAGGUAAAUCCGGUUCACUUUAACACUGAGGCGUGACGACGAGGCACUACGGUGCUGAAGCAACAAAUGCCCUGCUUCCAGGAAAAGCCUCUAAGCAUCAGGUAACAUCAAAUCGUACCCCAAACCGACACAGGUGGUCAGGUAGAGAAUACCAAGGCGCUUGAGAGAACUCGGGUGAAGGAACUAGGCAAAAUGGUGCCGUAACUUCGGGAGAAGGCACGCUGACACGUAGGUGAAGUGAUUUACUCAUGGAGCUGAAGUCAGUCGAAGAUACCAGCUGGCUGCAACUGUUUAUUAAAAACACAGCACUGUGCAAACACGAAAGUGGACGUAUACGGUGUGACGCCUGCCCGGUGCCGGAAGGUUAAUUGAUGGGGUCAGCGCAAGCGAAGCUCCUGAUCGAAGCCCCGGUAAACGGCGGCCGUAACUAUAACGGUCCUAAGGUAGCGAAAUUCCUUGUCGGGUAAGUUCCGACCUGCACGAAUGGCGUAAUGAUGGCCAGGCUGUCUCCACCCGAGACUCAGUGAAAUUGAACUCGCUGUGAAGAUGCAGUGUACCCGCGGCAAGACGGAAAGACCCCGUGAACCUUUACUAUAGCUUGACACUGAACAUUGAGCCUUGAUGUGUAGGAUAGGUGGGAGGCUUUGAAGUGUGGACGCCAGUCUGCAUGGAGCCGACCUUGAAAUACCACCCUUUAAUGUUUGAUGUUCUAACGUGGACCCGUGAUCCGGGUUGCGGACAGUGUCUGGUGGGUAGUUUGACUGGGGCGGUCUCCUCCUAAAGAGUAACGGAGGAGCACGAAGGUUGGCUAAUCCUGGUCGGACAUCAGGAGGUUAGUGCAAUGGCAUAAGCCAGCUUGACUGCGAGCGUGACGGCGCGAGCAGGUGCGAAAGCAGGUCAUAGUGAUCCGGUGGUUCUGAAUGGAAGGGCCAUCGCUCAACGGAUAAAAGGUACUCCGGGGAUAACAGGCUGAUACCGCCCAAGAGUUCAUAUCGACGGCGGUGUUUGGCACCUCGAUGUCGGCUCAUCACAUCCUGGGGCUGAAGUAGGUCCCAAGGGUAUGGCUGUUCGCCAUUUAAAGUGGUACGCGAGCUGGGUUUAGAACGUCGUGAGACAGUUCGGUCCCUAUCUGCCGUGGGCGCUGGAGAACUGAGGGGGGCUGCUCCUAGUACGAGAGGACCGGAGUGGACGCAUCACUGGUGUUCGGGUUGUCAUGCCAAUGGCACUGCCCGGUAGCUAAAUGCGGAAGAGAUAAGUGCUGAAAGCAUCUAAGCACGAAACUUGCCCCGAG
This 2801-nucleotide ribosomal RNA is filed under the name Salmonella enterica subsp. enterica. RNAcentral's name for it is "partial 23S ribosomal RNA". It matches the Rfam family "Bacterial large subunit ribosomal RNA". Lineage: Bacteria; Pseudomonadati; Pseudomonadota; Gammaproteobacteria; Enterobacterales; Enterobacteriaceae. The record is from RNAcentral.